Culex pipiens pallens (northern house mosquito) is the source of this 4906-nucleotide long non-coding RNA. RefSeq lists it as uncharacterized. The transcript has 2 exons. The record is from RefSeq and is a predicted model, not a curated record. Lineage: Eukaryota; Metazoa; Arthropoda; Insecta; Diptera; Culicidae.
UUGCAGCGACCUCAAAUUUAAAUCAUUAAAUUUGUCCAUUUAUCGAUCCUCACCACAGUUCUGACCAUGCGCGCUUACGCAAGCAUAAAUAAUUUUACCCGUCGACUCGCGUUGCGCGACAAAUAAUUAAGCUUAUGUACAGGUGUGGAUCAUGAGUCAUCCUCACCUGAAAAGCCCUUUAUUAAAUUUCGCCAAUUGUUAGGCAAUCAAAAAAAUGGUUAAGCUUUCAAUUAUGAAUGUGCGAUGUUAUUACACAGGGGAAAUUGAGGGUGUGGCUUAACCAAAUUCAUUGGCUUGUUUGUUCAAUGGAGAAUUCGACCUUCUCAUUAUUGACCAACAUUUUUGAGAAUGUUUUGGGAACAUAAUUUUGAUAUUCCAAUAACAUAAUUUAAAGUUUCACGACAAUGGUUCGAACCCAUGACUUCCGAUUUUGAGGUGUACUCACUACACCAUACGGAAAGUCAUGAAGAAUUGCAGAGGUCUGCAUAAUUUAAUUCAUGAGGUUCAUCGAUGCUUCUCAUCGAAACGGACCACUUUUAGUAGAACAAAAUUUAGUAGAGUUUUCGGGGACUGACUAUAAAAACCCCAAAAUUCUUGAGGAGGGCAGUUAGUUCCAGUCAGUUCCAGUCAGUUCCAGCCAGUUCAAGCCCAGUCCAGUUCCAGAUCCUGAAGAAGCCCCAGACCAGCCGGACCCGCCAGCAGCCACCAGUAGCAGAGGCCCCAGUCCAGCCGGACUUAGCGGUGGAGGCCGCAGUCCGCCGGGACUUAGCCGCUGUGAAGAGUCCGCCGGGACUUAGCCGCUGUGAAGAGUCCGCCGGGACUUAGCCGCUGUGAAGAGUCCGCCGGGACUUAGCCGCUGGGAAGAGUCCGCCGGGACUUAGCCGCCGUGGAGUCAACCAGGGACGUAGCAGAGUUCGGGUCUGGCAUGGCUCGGUGAAGAGGUCUGGAGGACAAGUCUGGCUUCAACGUAGAGAACUGGUUCGACGAAGAUCUCAAUGCAAAGUGAUGUGAUCGUGCGCGUAAAAGUUGAAAGUGUUACCGCAAAAAUGUAAUCUUCAAAAAGUGUAAUAUACAGAUAAGUGAAGUUUACUGAUCUGUUUUGACUCUAUGAGUAAAUAUCACAAAAAUCCUGAAAGCCUAAACCGCUCGGGCCGUUCAGGUGGUGACUAGCGGAAAGCAACGCUGUGUGUGUUUGGACACGCCAUUAUGAUUGGACAAAACCGAGAGUUGAAAAUGUGACUAUGUGUGAAAAUUAAUGAACAAAAUGAUUUCGCGAAGUAACAAACAGUUAAAAUAGUGUAAAAAAAACGUUAAAUUGAAGAAAAUGUUAUGUGAGGAGUUCUAAGAUGGAAGCAAAUGUGCAGCAGUACGAGAUGGAACCAAAACGGGCUCGACCAAUGGCAGAAGCAUCGAAAAUUUCAAAACCGGCCAACGAUGGACAACACUAGGGAUUCAACAAUGACGAGAUCAUCUGGAUCAACUGGAGACGAAAUUCAGCCGCAUCGAACACCCAAGAAGACGACCAUGGAAAUCUGGCAGUUUAGGAAUUUAUUUUCAGAAUGUUAUAUGCUUAUACGAAGGAUUUACAGGAAACCAUUGGAAGACGAUCAAGAAGACAACAAUUUCAACAAGAACGAAUAUGAACUACAGCUCAAGGAAAGGUAAAAUUUGUAAGUAUAUCGUGGGGAAUCAAAAAAGAUCGAAAAGGACGGUAAAAGUUCCGAUCUAGGGAUACAUAAACUGAUAAAGCAACGCCAAAGGGAUUAAAAAAGUAGACAAUUGUACUCUAUGGGGAGAGUUUUAUGUCGAAUAAAGCUUCAAACAGUUGUAAUCCAUGGGGGGAUUCAAUAAGUUAAAAACAUUUCAAAACAUUUGCACUUUACGGGGAUAGUCAAAUGAAAAUUAAAGGGAAUGGAUAAAUAACGCUUCAAGGGGAAAAUCAAGGGAUAAAAUAAUGCUUCAAGGGAAAAACACCUUUAAACUGAUAAAAUUCAGAGGAAAAAAAUCAGAUCGUUAUCAUUAGAAUGAUAAUUGAACCAACUAAUUAUCUUGCAAAUUCAGCAUUUAUUGCAAAUUGCUAAAAUAAACAAAUUAAUUUAAUGGGUUUGACAAAUUUGAAAACACAAAGUGAUGUACAGAUUUCAUAAAAAGUUGGAAGAACAGAAUGGAUAUUUUAACAUACGCAGUAUUGCAAUGACAAGAUGAUAGGAUGUAUAGAUCAAUGAAAAACUUUAUAGAGUAAUUUUUUUUUAUUCAAGUAUAAAAAUAAUAGUCAAUUAGAACUGAUUUCUUUUUGUAUUAAAAAUAAUAGAACUGAUUUCAUAUAAAAAUAUCAACAAGAUUUAUAAGAUUGUAAGUAAAUUUGAUUUUCAAUUUUGCACAGAAAUUAAAUGAUAGAUUCCUGAAAAUUAUAAAAUAUUGUUCAUGCGAAGAAAACAAGUAAGACAUUUUUGUGGGAGAAACAAAUGUAGAAACUGAAGUAAAAUAUGACAGAGACGGGAGACGAAACACAAGGAUGAUCGACGCGUUCGUAUGCUGAGAGGUUCUACGCGUUCGUAUGCAGAAGUUUGUGAUGGCAAGAUGGGGAGUGGCAAAGUCAUGCGGGAGGUUGGACAGGUAACGGUGUUGAUGUUGUUGUAAAAGGUCAUAUCAAUGAGGAUCAAGUCGAAUUAAAUCGCACUUUUUGUAACGAGACAUUCACGUAAAACAAAUUACUAAAUCGAAAUGUGGAAUUAAGCGAAGUAAAGAUGAUUGAAACAUCAAUAAUGGAACAAAAAUGCAAGUUGAGAUCAUACUGCACGUCUGAAACUAUUGAAAAGGAGAAGAUCAUGGUAAACAAAUGAUAACAUCAUCCGAUGUCAUUAAUUUACAAAGGCCAAAGUUGCAAAUUACACGAAAAGACAAUUUUGGACAAACAACAUUUCCUAAACAUUUGAAAAAAGAAUUACAUCAACCGAUGUCAAUAAUUUGAGAUUGUCAAAGAUACAAAGCAACUGGAAAAGUCAAUUUUGGACAAAAAUACUGGAUUCACGAACAAUUCACAAUACUCAGCAAAUGAGAAGUCAAUGCACUCUCAAAACUGACCAUAGUCAACUCACAGCUGGGUUAUGAAGCAUAAUUCAUGAUGGAAACGACAAUUGCACUAAUUGACGAAAUUCAACACCUUAGCCUCGAAAACGAACCAAUUGACCAAGUCACUGUGGAAUGAAUAGCCUCACGAUAAAGACAAUUUUUGAUGGAAGACGACAACGAUUACAACCAGCCGAUCAACACAGUUCUACAACAGAUUUUGUUUAAAAAAAAAUGCAAUGAUUUUUUUUAGAAGAGAUAAUGAAAAUUAAUUUCAAAUGCAAGUUUAUGUAAAUCAGUUUCAACGAAAAUAAUUUUACAAGAGAAGUUCAAAACAGUAAUUCAAGUAAUUUAACAGGACCAAAGAUCAAAAGAGUAAUGAAAAUAAUUUUACAGUAGAAAAAUCAAAAGAGCAAUUAUAAUUAUAAAGCAAUUUUCAAGAAACCACAAGAAGAACAAAUUGUAAACCGCACGAUCACUACACCCGACAAUAUUCUUUCCAUAGAUGAUCAUUUCUUUCAGACGAUCAUCUAGCUGAUAAGUGUGGGGGAGAUUAACCGAACCAAUUUUUUUAAAUAAUUUUUUUUAUAGCCAGCCAAUUAUAUUUUUUAUGAUUUUUUGCAAAGUUUUUUUUUUCACAAAUCAAAUUAUUAGUUUUGGGAAUAUUCUUUCAACCUACAAAUAACUUUCGAUAGAUGUUCUUAAUGCUUUUCAAGUAUACAAACAUCUAGCUGGUAAGUGUGGGGGAAUGCAGCGACCUCAAAUUUAAAUCAUUAAAUUUGUCCAUUUAUCGAUCCUCACCACAGUUCUGACCAUGCGCGCUUACGCAAGCAUAAAUAAUUUUACCCGUCGACUCGCGUUGCGCGACAAAUAAUUAAGCUUAUGUACAGGUGUGGAUCAUGAGUCAUCCUCACCUGAAAAGCCCUUUAUUAAAUUUCGCCAAUUGUUAGGCAAUCAAAAAAAUGGUUAAGCUUUCAAUUAUGAAUGUGCGAUGUUAUUACACAGGGGAAAUUGAGGGUGUGGCUUAACCAAAUUCAUUGGCAUGUUUGUUCAAUGGAGAAUUCGACCUUCUCAUUAUUGACCAACAUUUUUGAGAAUGUUUUGGGAACAUAAUUUUGAUAUUCCAAUAACAUAAUUUAAAGUUUCACGACAAUGGUUCGAACCCAUGACUUCCGAUUUUGAGGUGUACUCACUACACCAUACGGAAAGUCAUGAAGAAUUGCAGAGGUCUGCAUAAUUUAAUUCAUGAGGUUCAUCGAUGCUUCUCAUCGAAACGGACCACUUUUAGUAGAACAAAAUUUAGUAGAGUUUUCGGGGACUGACUAUAAAAACCCCAAAAUUCUUGAGGAGGGCAGUUAGUUCCAGUCAGUUCCAGUCAGUUCCAGCCAGUUCAAGCCCAGUCCAGUUCCAGAUCCUGAAGAAGCCCCAGACCAGCCGGACCCGCCAGCAGCCACCAGUAGCAGAGGCCCCAGUCCAGCCGGACUUAGCGGUGGAGGCCGCAGUCCGCCGGGACUUAGCCGCUGUGAAGAGUCCGCCGGGACUUAGCCGCUGUGAAGAGUCCGCCGGGACUUAGCCGCUGUGAAGAGUCCGCCGGGACUUAGCCGCUGGGAAGAGUCCGCCGGGACUUAGCCGCCGUGGAGUCAACCAGGGACGUAGCAGAGUUCGGGUCUGGCAUGGCUCGGUGAAGAGGUCUGGAGGACAAGUCUGGCUUCAACGUAGAGAACUGGUUCGACGAAGAUCUCAAUGCAAAGUGAUGUGAUCGUGCGCGUAAAAGUUGAAAGUGUUACCGCAAAAAUGUAAUCUUCAAAAAGUGUAAUAUACAGAUAAGUGAAGUUUA